GUACUGGUAGUUCAGUGGUAGAACUCUCACCUUCUAAGUGGAAGAACUGGGUUUGAUUCCUGGCCAACGCA
RNAcentral lists this transfer RNA (71 nucleotides) under Loxodonta africana (African savanna elephant). It matches the Rfam family "tRNA". From Rfam's summary of the family: Transfer RNA (tRNA) molecules are approximately 80 nucleotides in length. Their secondary structure includes four short double-helical elements and three loops (D, anti-codon, and T loops). The record is from Rfam by way of RNAcentral. Lineage: Eukaryota; Metazoa; Chordata; Mammalia; Proboscidea; Elephantidae.